This 319-nucleotide long non-coding RNA is filed under the name Cicer arietinum (chickpea). RNAcentral's name for it is "long non-coding RNA (CARI_LNC000383)". Lineage: Eukaryota; Viridiplantae; Streptophyta; Magnoliopsida; Fabales; Fabaceae. The record is from RNAcentral.
GUUCCCAAACCGACAGAUGUUUUUAUCCUGUUUUUGCUAAUAAUCCAUCAUAAACCAGAAGUGGUCGAACAAUGGUGUUAUGGUUCUAUGUCUGAAAACAAAGAAAUGGGAUAAUCAAUUAAAAGGAAGAAGACGGGUCACAUGACUCAUUAAAGAAAGCUUUUAAUCUGAGCUAUUUGGUCAGAACAAAGGGUUGGAAUUGAUUUCUCUCAUAUUAAAAAGUCUUUUUACUUAUAUAUCUUCCAACAUAUCAAAUAAGAUGAGUUUUACAAUGACAUGAUGAUAGAGUUAGACAUUGACUACAAAACUAUACAUGAAU